RNAcentral lists this ribosomal RNA (254 nucleotides) under uncultured bacterium. RNAcentral's name for it is "partial 16S ribosomal RNA". It matches the Rfam family "Bacterial small subunit ribosomal RNA", at positions 107 to 354 of the family's 1533-position model. The record is from RNAcentral.
UGAGUAACACGUGAGUGACCUGCCUUUUAGACUGGAACAACUUACCGAAAGGUGAGCUAAUGCCGGAUGAGUUAUAUAGGUGCAUGUUUAUAUAGGAAAAGUUGGGGAGACCUGACGCUGAAAGAUGGACUCGCGUCCCAUUAGCUAGUUGGUAGGGUAAUGGCCUACCAAGGCGACGAUGGGUAGCCGGCCUGAGAGGGUGGCCGGCCACACUGGGACUGAGACACGGCCCAGACUCCUACGGGAGGCAGCAG